Molecule: non-coding RNA, 305 nt
Organism: Heterocephalus glaber (naked mole-rat)
Lineage: Eukaryota; Metazoa; Chordata; Mammalia; Rodentia; Bathyergidae
Source: RefSeq, a predicted model, not a curated record
GCCUGGCACCUACAGGACAGCCACAACCAGCUCCAGUCUUCUGCAACAAAGCUAGUGACCUUCGAGCACCAGAAUCACCAGAUGGUUGGAUGGAGCUACUCUAAGUGGUUCCUAUGAGUUCUGCCCUGUGAGCUACUCAUUGAAAAGAUUUAUGUCAUCAGUUUGAAUCACGAGGACAGUCUACUGUGAAAAACAAACCAGAGGCUAAAUAUUAUUCUCAAACUCAAAGGCUAACAAUGCAGGCUAACAAUCCAGAAUUCUUAAGUCUCAAUUACCAUCAAGCUAUUAUAUAAUAUCAAGAGAGG